UACGGGAGGCAGCAGUGGGGAAUAUUGCACAAUGGGCGCAAGCCUGAUGCAGCCAUGCCGCGUGUAUGAAGAAGGCCUUCGGGUUGUAAAGUACUUUCAGUCGUGAGGAAGGUGUUAAGGUUAAUAACCUUAGCAAUUGACGUUAGCGACAGAAGAAGCACCGGCUAACUCCGUGCCAGCAGCCGCGGUAAUACGGAGGGUGCGGGCGUUAAUCGGAAUUACUGGGCGUAAAGGGCACGCAGGCGGUUAAUUAAGUUGGAUGUGAAAUCCCCGGGCUUAACCUGGGAAUGGCAUUCAAGACUGGUUAGCUAGAGUCUUGUAGAGGGGGUAGAAUUCCAUGUGUAGCGGUGAAAUGCGUAGAGAUGUGGAGGAAUACCGGUGGCGAAGGCGGCCCCUGGACAAAGACUGACGCUCAUGUGCGAAAGCGUGGGGAGCAAACAGGGAUUAGAUACCCGU
Molecule: ribosomal RNA, 456 nt
Filed under: uncultured bacterium
Lineage: Bacteria
Description: bacterial SSU rRNA
Rfam family: Bacterial small subunit ribosomal RNA
Source: RNAcentral